Molecule: ribosomal RNA, 1560 nt
Filed under: Ligilactobacillus salivarius
Lineage: Bacteria; Bacillati; Bacillota; Bacilli; Lactobacillales; Lactobacillaceae
Description: bacterial SSU rRNA
Rfam family: Bacterial small subunit ribosomal RNA
Source: RNAcentral
UAGAGUUUGAUCCUGGCUUAGGACGAACGCUGGCGGCGUGCCUAAUACAUGCAAGUCGAACGAAACUUUCUUACACCGAAUGCUUGCAUUCACCGUAAGAAGUUGAGUGGCGGACGGGUGAGUAACACGUGGGUAACCUGCCUAAAAGAAGGGGAUAACACUUGGAAACAGGUGCUAAUACCGUAUAUCUCUAAGGAUCGCAUGAUCCUUAGAUGAAAGAUGGUUCUGCUAUCGCUUUUAGAUGGACCCGCGGCGUAUUAACUAGUUGGUGGGGUAACGGCCUACCAAGGUGAUGAUACGUAGCCGAACUGAGAGGUUGAUCGGCCACAUUGGGACUGAGACACGGCCCAAACUCCUACGGGAGGCAGCAGUAGGGAAUCUUCCACAAUGGACGCAAGUCUGAUGGAGCAACGCCGCGUGAGUGAAGAAGGUCUUCGGAUCGUAAAACUCUGUUGUUAGAGAAGAACACGAGUGAGAGUAACUGUUCAUUCGAUGACGGUAUCUAACCAGCAAGUCACGGCUAACUACGUGCCAGCAGCCGCGGUAAUACGUAGGUGGCAAGCGUUGUCCGGAUUUAUUGGGCGUAAAGGGAACGCAGGCGGUCUUUUAAGUCUGAUGUGAAAGCCUUCGGCUUAACCGGAGUAGUGCAUUGGAAACUGGAAGACUUGAGUGCAGAAGAGGAGAGUGGAACUCCAUGUGUAGCGGUGAAAUGCGUAGAUAUAUGGAAGAACACCAGUGGCGAAAGCGGCUCUCUGGUCUGUAACUGACGCUGAGGUUCGAAAGCGUGGGUAGCAAACAGGAUUAGAUACCCUGGUAGUCCACGCCGUAAACGAUGAAUGCUAGGUGUUGGAGGGUUUCCGCCCUUUAGUGCCGCAGCUAACGCAAUAAGCAUUCCGCCUGGGGAGUACGACCGCAAGGUUGAAACUCAAAGGAAUUGACGGGGGCCCGCACAGGCGGUGGAGCAUGUGGUUUAAUUCGAAGCAACGCGAAGAACCUUACCAGGUCUUGACAUCCUUUGACCACCUAAGAGAUUAGGUUUUCCCUUCGGGGACAAAGUGACAGGUGGUGCAUGGCUGUCGUCAGCUCGUGUCGUGAGAUGUUGGGUUAAGUCCCGCAACGAGCGCAACCCUUGUUGUCAGUUGCCAGCAUUAAGUUGGGCACUCUGGCGAGACUGCCGGUGACAAACCGGAGGAAGGUGGGGACGACGUCAAGUCAUCAUGCCCCUUAUGACCUGGGCUACACACGUGCUACAAUGGACGGUACAACGAGUCGCAAGACCGCGAGGUUUAGCUAAUCUCUUAAAGCCGUUCUCAGUUCGGAUUGUAGGCUGCAACUCGCCUACAUGAAGUCGGAAUCGCUAGUAAUCGCGAAUCAGCAUGUCGCGGUGAAUACGUUCCCGGGCCUUGUACACACCGCCCGUCACACCAUGAGAGUUUGUAACACCCAAAGCCGGUGGGGUAACCGCAAGGAGCCAGCCGUCUAAGGUGGGACAGAUGAUUGGGGUGAAGUCGUAACAAGGUAGCCGUAGGAGAACUUGCGGCUGGAUCACCUCCUUAAAUC